Molecule: ribosomal RNA, 420 nt
Filed under: uncultured bacterium
Lineage: Bacteria
Description: bacterial SSU rRNA
Rfam family: Bacterial small subunit ribosomal RNA
Source: RNAcentral
UGGGGAAUUUUGCACAAUGGGCGAAAGCCUGAUGCAGCGACGCCGCGUGAGGGAUGGAGGCCUUCGGGUUGUGAACCUCUUUCGCUCAUGGUCAAGCCGCGCGUGUGCGUGUGGUGAGGGUAGUGGGUAAAGAAGCGCCGGCUAACUACGUGCCAGCAGCCGCGGUAAUACGUUGGGCGCGAGCGUUGUCCGGAAUUAUUGGGCGUAAAGGGCUUGUAGGCGGUUGGCCGCGUCUGCCGUGAAAUCCUCUGGCUUAACUGGGGGCGUGCGGUGGGUACGGGUUGACUUGAGUGCGGUAGGGGAGACUGGAAUUCCUGGUGUAGCGGUGGAAUGCGCAGAUAUCAGGAGGAACACCGGUGGCGAAGGCGGGUCUCUGGGCCGUUACUGACGCUGAGGAGCGAAAGCGUGGGGAGCGAACAG